RNAcentral lists this ribosomal RNA (394 nucleotides) under Malassezia sympodialis. RNAcentral's name for it is "eukaryotic LSU rRNA". The stretch from base 1 to 110 matches the Rfam family "5.8S ribosomal RNA", at positions 45 to 154 of the family's 154-position model. Lineage: Eukaryota; Fungi; Basidiomycota; Malasseziomycetes; Malasseziales; Malasseziaceae. The record is from RNAcentral.
GCAGCGAAACGCGAUAGGUAAUGUGAAUUGCAGAAUUCCGUGAAUCAUCGAAUCUUUGAACGCACCUUGCGCUCCAUGGUAUUCCGUGGAGCAUGCCUGUUUGAGUGCCGCGAAUUCUCCCUCCCCUUACGGUGGCCGAAAGGCCGAAGUAGGGCGGACGGGGUAGGAUGGGUGUUGCUGCCUGGGGAUUGUACCAGGCUCGCCCGAAAUGCAUAAGCGCCAGGACCCUCGCUACCGCUCUCUAGGGAAGAGUGGCUAAGCGACCGCUGAGCAUGGCAUGAUACGUCAUUUGCUGUGUGUGGGCGGCCGGUUGGAGAGGUGUCUGCUUUACCAGCCCUUUUUUAAUUCUGGUCUCAAAUCAGGUAGGAUCACCCGCUGAACUUAAGCAUAUCAU